Pelobates cultripes (western spadefoot toad) is the source of this 296-nucleotide non-coding RNA. Lineage: Eukaryota; Metazoa; Chordata; Amphibia; Anura; Pelobatidae. The record is from the annotation of a GenBank genome assembly.
AUCCAGUUGGAAAUCGCAAAGAUGCAGGUAGAUUUGUGUGUUAUCUGCAUAUAAAUGAUAAUAGAAAUGAAAUGGGGUGAUGAGUUUACCAAGGGAGGCAGUAUAGAUGGAAAACAGUAGGGGACCAAGGACAAAACCUUGGGGAACACCAACAGAGAGCGGUUGGGGAGAAGAGGCAGAGCCAGAGAAAGAAACACUGAAAAAGCACUGGGAGAGGUAAGAGGAGCACCAGGAGAGAGCAGAAUGAUUACAGAGAAUGAUUAUGGAGAAUGAGAAGAAGCUGUUAAUGAUCAACA